Molecule: ribosomal RNA, 1469 nt
Filed under: Hemimycale polyboletus
Lineage: Eukaryota; Metazoa; Porifera; Demospongiae; Poecilosclerida; Hymedesmiidae
Description: partial large subunit ribosomal RNA
Rfam family: Eukaryotic large subunit ribosomal RNA
Source: RNAcentral
CUGCUGAAUUUAAGCAUAUUAAUAAGCGGAGGAAAAGAAACUAACAAGGAUUCCCCCAGUAACGGCGAGCGAAGUGGGAAGAGCUCGAGCCUGAAAUCCCCGGCGCCACGCGCCGGAGAAUUGUGGCCGGGAGAGGCAGCCUGUGCCCUGGCUGGCGCCGUCGAAGUUGACCUGGAAAGGAACGUCGGAGAGGGUGAGAGCCCCGUACGCGACGCCGCCGGCUUGGGCCGUUACUGUCUUCGGAGAGUCGGGUUGUUCGGGAAUGCAGCCCAAAGUGGGUGGUAGACUCCAUCUAAAGCUAAAUACUGGCACGAGACCGAUAGCGAACAAGUACCGUGAGGGAAAGGUGAAAAGUACUUUGAAAAGAGAGUCAAAAAGACCGCGAAACCGUUAGGAGGGAAACGAAUGCGGCUGAAGUGGCUCCCCGUCAGGCUCAGGAGAGGUCGGUCGGGUCCGGAGGCUGCGCGGUUGCUUGCCGCGCCGGNCGCCGGCGCCNGCCGACCGAUCUGCACUUCUGCGGGGAGCCGGCCAACGGCAGUUGCUCCCGGCCCACGAGGGCGCCGCGGGUAGGUGGCCCCGCGUUUCCGCGUGGGGACCUUACAGCCCGGCGUCUGGACGUUCCGGGACGCGACUGAGGACAGUUGCGAGUCUCUUUGAUCGCACCGGCAGCGCAGGCCUCCCCCUUCGCGGGGGGAGGCUGGGCCGCUCCAGCCCGGUGGGCGGCCGCGAUGGCCACUGCGUGCAGUGGUCUGUCGACGGUCCCGUCCGCCGGGAGGGUGGNCGGUCGCACCCUGCGCUGCGGUCGUUGGUGCCCGAAUGNNNNNNNNNNNNNCGUCUUGAAACACGGACCAAGGAGUGCAACAUGCGUGCGAGUCUUUGGGUGGCAAACCCGUCGGCGCAAUGAAAGUGAAGGCAGGUGUAUUGGCCUGCUGUGGCGGGAGCCCUCGCGAGGGGGCGCACCGUCGACCGAUCCCGGGCUACGCUGUGGCGGGAUUUGAGUGAGAGCGUGCCUGUUGCGACCCGAAAGAUGGUGAACUAUGCCUGAAUAGGGUGAAGCCAGAGGAAACCCUGGUGGAAGCUCGCAGCGAUUCUGACGUGCAAAUCGAUCGUCAAAUUUGGGUAUAGGGGCGAAAGACUAAUCGAACCGUCUAGUAGCUGGUUCCCUCCGAAGUUUCCCUCAGGAUAGCUGGAGCCCGGUGGCAGUUUUAUCAGGUAAAGCGAAUGAUUAGAGGUCUUGGGGCUGAAACGGCUUCAACCUAUUCUCAAACUUUAAAUGGGUAAGAAGCUCGGCCUGCUCAGUUGAGGUCGGGCACUAGAAUGCCGGGGCUCCCAGUGGGCCAUUUUUGGUAAGCAGAACUGGCGAUGUGGGAUGAACCGAAAGUCGGGUUAAGGUGCCGGAAUCGACGCUCAUCAGAUCCCAUGAAAGGUGUUGGUUGAUACAGACAGCAGGACGGUGGCCAUGGAAGUCG